RNAcentral lists this unclassified non-coding RNA (880 nucleotides) under Pollicipes pollicipes. Its description in RNAcentral is "galactoside alpha-(1,2)-fucosyltransferase 2-like, transcript variant X1". The record is from RNAcentral. Lineage: Eukaryota; Metazoa; Arthropoda; Thecostraca; Pollicipedomorpha; Pollicipedidae.
GUCGCCAACGGGCAGUCCGAGCUCAGGUCACGGUGCCGUGACGACCCCGCUCGUCAGGCAGGAGUGUCCGGCUGCGCCGGUGAUCUCGUCCCACUCGGGCGGACGGCUGGGCAACAACCUGGCGGAGUAUGCCACCAUCUACGCCCUGGGACUCAGGUACAACAUGACGGCGGUGGCCACGCCGUCCUUGCUGCGCUUCAUACGUCACGUGUCUCCCAACACGACACUCCCUGUGGUGAGUGACGCGUGUGCCGAGCAGCACUCGCCGAUCCUGGCGAGCCAGUUCGAGAAGCUCAGCGACGAGGAGCGGCGCGCGCACAGCUGGUACAUCAAAUACUACCCGCACCACGCGCGGCUCUUCUGGCGCUAUCGGCACCAGCUGUGCGACGAGUUCGCCAUCAGGCCGGAUCUAUCUCGGGACGCGCAGCUACAGCUGCUGAACGUGAGCCGUGGCCGAACAGGGCUGACAUUCGUCGGUGUGCACGUCCGCAGGACCGACUACGCCUCCCACCUCAAGAGUGUGUUCCGUGGCAAACCAGUAAGCGUGUCAUUCUACACAGCUGCUAUGGAGCUGUGUCGGCAGCGAUACAAGAACCCACUAUUCAUCUUGACUAGUGAUGACCUGUCAUGGUGCAGGGCAAGUGACGUGACCUCUGAGACGAGUGAUGACCUGAUCCGGGGCAGGUGAGAUGGCCACCGAGACUGGUGAUGAUCUAUUAUCGUGCAGGAACUUCUGGCAAAAUGUCAACUGAGGGAGCACCUGCAGGCCGACGACGUAUACGUGCUCGGUGACAGCCGCACCGAGACCCCCGGUCCUGGACGGGACCUGGCUCUGCUGGCCGCCUGCAACCACACCGUGUUCGACUACGGCACCUACGGC